Molecule: ribosomal RNA, 713 nt
Filed under: uncultured fungus
Lineage: Eukaryota; Fungi
Description: eukaryotic LSU rRNA
Rfam family: Eukaryotic large subunit ribosomal RNA
Source: RNAcentral
CUAGUAACGGNNGAGUGAAGCGGGAACAGCUCAAAUUUGAAAUCUGGGAGGUUUGCCUCUCCGAAUUGUAGUUUAGAGAAGUGUUUUCGGCGGCGGCCAGGGUAUAAGUCUCUUGGAACAGGGCAUCAUAGAGGGUGAGAAUCCCGUCUUUGGCCCAUGGUCUGCUGCUAUGUGAUACACUUUCAAAGAGUCGGGUUGUUUGGGAAUGCAGCCCAAAAUGGGUGGUAAAUUUCAUCUAAAGCUAAAUAAUGGCGAGAGACCGAUAGCGAACAAGUACCGUGAGGGAAAGAUGAAAAGAACUUUGAAAAGAGAGUUAAACAGUACGUGAAAUUGCCAAAAGGGAAACGCUUGAAACCAGUAUUGUUUGCGGGAAAUCAGUCAGGCUUGUCGACUUGUUCAUGGCUUUGGACCGCAAGGCCAAGUUAUGGAUAAAGGAGGUUCAGCCUGGUGCACUUUUCCGUGAACAGGUCAACAUCAGUUUGACUUGCGGGAAAAAGGUCAAGGAAAGGUAACCCCCUCCGGGGGGUGUUAUAGUCCUGAUUUAUACCGUGGGUUAGACUGAGGAUCGCAGCGCAGGCUUCUUGGCGGAGAACCCAGCCGUUGCCUUGGCCUUUUUCGCAGACAGCGUGCUGACUGUCGAGAAAUGCGUCGGGGCACGCGGUUGGUUCACUACCUCUGUGCUUAGGAUGUUGACGAAAUGGUUUUAAACGACC